Molecule: long non-coding RNA, 1020 nt
Organism: Polypterus senegalus (gray bichir)
Lineage: Eukaryota; Metazoa; Chordata; Cladistia; Polypteriformes; Polypteridae
Exons: 7
Source: RefSeq, a predicted model, not a curated record
CUGGCUAAGCACCGCGCGGCCUGUCAGCAGGUGUAAACGACCAACAGCGCUCGUCCAGACUUGGGAGUCUGCCAGGCACAGAUGUGUUCAGUCAGAUGACUAAUUGAAAACCUUAAACAAAACCAGCAGCUUGGCUAUUUCUCCUGCAUAAUGAAGCGGCGCCGAUAAAGGCUGAGCAAAACCACCCCGCUCAUCAACGCUGCCAUUAACAAUCAGGAGCAAAGAUGAAAACAACGCAUGGUUUAUUCUGCAAAUGAAAGCCUAUAGCUAGAUGGCAUCCCAGGAGUCCGUUUGCAAUUUUAAUAAUACAUCAAGGAGAGUUCUCGGAGCAAACAGAUUUGACGUAGUAGCCGAACGCAACAAACUACUUCCAGUUCUACCACACGGAGAGACAACUCCCACCGCUAUGAAUUUAGCAAAUUUAUAAAGGACAGAAACAUAUUGCUGGCCAUCAGAAGGCAGUGUUGCCCAGCACAGAUUUGGAAGUAACCAUCUGAGAAGAAUAUACUGUAAAUAAAUAUAGGAUCACAAUAUACUGAAAGAUUAUAUUUCUAAUAAAGAAAAUAAACUUUCCACUAGUCCUCCUGGGCCAAGAAACAUUCCAGACAGAUGAGUGGGAGUCACAGUAUCAGUUACUUUUUCAACCUCUCCCUGCAAUGUUUUGUGAAAUUGAAACUUAAAAUUCCGAAGCCCCAUUUUUUGACGUCUAGAACUGUUUGAAUUUUGAUUAGGCUGCCGAGGGUGAAGCCUAUUCUGCCUUAUUUACAGAGAUGGUGAAAAAGUACUCUGGUGUAUGAAGAAAAUGUGACCAAGAAAAAGAGAGGGAUAAAAGAGUUUAUGAAUAACAUGAGGAAAAUUGAUCUCGGCCUCUCUGACCCUGUUGCCCUGAAAUCAGUUUAGGAGCUCAUCUAUGGAAAUUCUUCAAUGAAAUGAAAGUUGUUUUGCCAACUCCUCAUUUUGGGCCUGCUACAGUUGAAGCAAGCAUGUUGCACGGAGGCCUGGCUGACGUUAAGAUUACUU